GAUGAACGCUGGCGGCGUGCCUAAUACAUGCAAGUAGAACGCUGAAGCUUGGUGCUUGCACCGAGCGGAUGAGUUGCGAACGGGUGAGUAACGCGUAGGUAACCUGCCUCUUAGCGGGGGAUAACUAUUGGAAACGAUAGCUAAUACCGCAUAAAAGUCGAUAUCGCAUGAUAUUGAUUUGAAAGGUGCAAUUGCAUCACUAAGAGAUGGACCUGCGUUGUAUUAGCUAGUUGGUGAGGUAACGGCUCACCAAGGCGACGAUACAUAGCCGACCUGAGAGGGUGAUCGGCCACACUGGGGCUGAGACACGGCCCAGACUCCUACGGGAGGCAGCAGUAGGGAAUCUUCGGCAAUGGGGGCAACCCUGACCGAGCAACGCCGCGUGAGUGAAGAAGGUUUUCGGAUCGUAAAGCUCUGUUGUAAGAGAAGAACGAGUGUGAGAGUGGAAAGUUCACACUGUGACGGUACUACCA
This 473-nucleotide ribosomal RNA is filed under the name Streptococcus parasanguinis. RNAcentral describes it as "bacterial SSU rRNA". It matches the Rfam family "Bacterial small subunit ribosomal RNA", at positions 28 to 485 of the family's 1533-position model. Lineage: Bacteria; Bacillati; Bacillota; Bacilli; Lactobacillales; Streptococcaceae. The record is from RNAcentral.